RNAcentral lists this long non-coding RNA (237 nucleotides) under Setaria viridis. Its description in RNAcentral is "long non-coding RNA (SVIR_LNC002209)". Lineage: Eukaryota; Viridiplantae; Streptophyta; Magnoliopsida; Poales; Poaceae. The record is from RNAcentral.
GAAAAGGAAAGGAUCGGAAAUGAAACAUUGGAUUGAAACUGGCGUAGUAUCGCUGGGAAAAUUGUCCCACCGUGGAUCGCAUGAUAUCUCAAAAUGUUUUAAUCGGUUUCUGCAAGGAAACUUCACCUUGACAAGAAACAACGAAGCGGCCGAAGCCAGCAUAGAUUCUCGCAAAUCUCCCCAUCAGACAUAAGAACGAUCUUCUAAGUGAUCCAGUUCGUGUCACCCCAGAUCAAC